Molecule: long non-coding RNA, 2138 nt
Organism: Triticum aestivum (bread wheat)
Lineage: Eukaryota; Viridiplantae; Streptophyta; Magnoliopsida; Poales; Poaceae
Exons: 5
Source: RefSeq, a predicted model, not a curated record
UUUUAGUUUUAUCCAUGUCUUGAAAGACAUAAUCUAAAAUAUUUUUCCUAAGUGUGAGUGUAAUUAAAAUGGGUUUGCAAGACCUUAAUGACGUGACUGGAUAUAGUAUAAGCUUAAUAAAUAGAUUUUACAACGAAAGACUAAACUGGGGUACCAAGGGCUAAGGCUGGACAUCAAUCCACAAGGAACUGGUUGGGAAACUAUCCUAGCAAACGAAUACUCCAGCUUCAUGCUAGGGGACGCACUACCAGAAACUGAAAUUUUUCUGUGCGUUAUAACUUUUCCUGUCGGGCCCGCACUAGCGCACAGGAAAAUGGGCCAUAUUCCUGUGCGCCAGGCAAAAACUCACAGAAAAAACAAUAUUGCUGUCGGUCCUGGCCCGGCCCACAGGACUAACCAAUAUCCCUGGCGUGCGUAACCCACAGCGAAAAUGAAGCCCAGGUUUGCCGCCAUGAAUUCAGCCACGCGCGCGAAAACAAAGCCCGUCCCGCCGCUGAACUAAUUUUUGGGCUGCCGCUCACCGGUUGGAAAACUUGGAAUAAAGCCCCAGCGAAAAAAUCCCAGUCAUUCCCCACCCGAGCCAGACAGCGGCGCCCCCAAAUCCCAGAUCUGGCCGCCGCCAGCCAUCGGCGUCCCAGAUCCCUCGUCGUCUCUACGCAGAUGCGCCCCAAAUCCGUCGCCAACCUGCUGCGCCCCAGAUCCCUCGUCGCCGGAUGCGCGUCCGCCAACCUCUCUCCCGCCCCAUUCGCCAUACUCGCUGGGUUGCCGAACAAGGAACAGCCGCCGCCGGAAUAUGGCCGUCAACUUCGCCUCUACCUCCGGAGGGUCGCCGUAAAGGUACCUGCUAAUGUCGUCAAUCGAUCGCCAUCGCAUCCUUCUAUGAGUGCCGCCCCUUUCCAUCCAGAAAAUAACGAGAAUGGUCUCCUUCCUCAUUUGCUGGGUACUGGUAGAAGAAAAUGGCUCUAUACAGACAUUGGUCUUGAAUAGGCCAAGGUAGUUGAUGUCUCUCCUCUGCAACCGUUACAGGACUCCUAAAAAAUCACUUCUUCAGAGGAGGGAAACAAAGUUGGACUGUUAAUUGUAAAGUAGGAGCAAAAUUCAAGAUUCGAGAUCUACGAGAGAUGCAAGAGCUUUUGUUCUAAUCAAGGGACCAAUGAUCCGUUGCAUGGAAAUUACACGGAAUAGGAUCAGCACAACAAGGAGACUGCAGCAGGACGUUAAGGUUAUCAAUAAAGGCAAGAAAUUCUACUUAUUCUUCUGAAUAAAGAGGUACUGUUCCCUGCUGUUACAUUAUUGAAUAAUUGCAUAAUCCUUUGGUUUUUACUGUUAUGGAGAUGAUGAUGACUCUGCCCAUUUUUCUCAAACAUCUGAAAUGGUUAGACUUAACUCCUUGUUAUUUUCUUACUAUACAAUUUUGUGGUGAUGCAUCAUUGAGCACUUGCACUUAAGAGUAUUGACAUUGGUACUGUGAUUUGAGCCUGACUUGCAAGAAGCCUCUAAUAUCUCAUCAAUCCAGACUGUUAGGUGAUAAAUAUUUCUACCUAAUCCAGAAGCAUGUGGUUAGGUUGUCAUUUGAAUGGAUUUUUUCAGUUGCAUGGUUUGUAUAAAUCUGAGAUAUGAUUCUAUCACAAAUUACUCCAUUAUUUUUUCCAUAUAGCUGUAAAAUUGGGUAACUUUGCUGUGACAAAAACAAGUUGUGUAUAUAUGCCACUGUUAUUGCGAGAAACUGAGAUAUCAGAUCGAUUAUGCUUAUUAUAUCUUAUAGAUAUUGUUCCUGUUUGUUGUCACCUUUUUGUAUCAAAGUGUUGACACUUGCACCUUUUUUUAUGCGAGACACUUGCACUUUUGUACAAGUUCAUUUAUGUCCACUGCAGGGUAACCUUGAAGAGAAGCUUGCAACUUAAGCUGUAACCAAACAUUAUGAAAAGAGGUCUCACGCUGUGAAUAUUUAGUUGAUGCACUAGUGAUUUUAGAUGUUGCACCUCUGUUUUCAUUCUCUUUUGAUUCAUGUAUGUAAAUUUGAUGGAAUUGUAUCCGAUGUAUGUGAAUUUGUAACUCCAUGGUUGAUGGAAGCUAUUGAUAGCGAUGUUUCUUUGUUCUAAACAAUCAGAGUAAUAAAAUAGCUAUGCGUAAGACCA